GCUGAAGCAGAGAAAAAUCUCGCUAUGAUGGACAAGCACCAACUUGAGAGCUCAGCUUUUCAGAAGUUACUUGCCGAGACUACACAAAUGUAUGAGGAAAAAAUAGCAGAGUUGAUUAAGCAAUUUAGUUUGGAGGAACAAUUGACUUCUGUGCAAGAACAAUUGAGUGAUAGUAAUGACUCACUUGAGAGAAUGGUGCGAGGAACACUUAUGGAAGAUAAGAUAACAGGAAUUCGACCUAAUUGAUUUGGGGAUGUACAAUAGAGUUGGAAGAUGCAUCAAUAAGAUGGGUAAAUAUCACAAAGGUUCCUAGUAGAUUUUUUUGUCACUUUAUGUACUCCCACAUUUUUAAGUA
This is a long non-coding RNA of Phalaenopsis equestris, 355 nucleotides long. RefSeq lists it as uncharacterized. Lineage: Eukaryota; Viridiplantae; Streptophyta; Magnoliopsida; Asparagales; Orchidaceae. The record is from RefSeq and is a predicted model, not a curated record. The transcript has 3 exons.